This 925-nucleotide ribosomal RNA is filed under the name Treponema sp. oral taxon 263. Its description in RNAcentral is "bacterial SSU rRNA". It matches the Rfam family "Bacterial small subunit ribosomal RNA", at positions 28 to 941 of the family's 1533-position model. The record is from RNAcentral. Lineage: Bacteria; Pseudomonadati; Spirochaetota; Spirochaetia; Treponematales; Treponemataceae.
AACGAACGCUGGCGGCGCGUCUUAAGCAUGCAAGUCGGACGGCAAGAAGGAGCUUGCUCCUUCCUAGAGUGGCGGACUGGUGAGUAACGCGUGGAUGACGUACCUCUCGGAUGGGGACAGCCGGCAGAAAUGCCGGAUAAUACCGAAUAAAGUCCUGUGGAGUAAAUACACAGGAUGAAAGCGGCUUCGGCCGCGCCGGGAGAGCGGUUUGCGUCCUAUCAGCUAGUUGGCGAGGUAAAGGCUCACCAAGGCGACGACGGGUAUCCGGCCUGAGAGGGUGAACGGACACAUUGGGACUGAGAUACGGCCCAGACUCCUACGGGAGGCAGCAGCUAAGGAUAUUCCGCAAUGGGGGAAACCCUGACGGAGCGACGCCGCGUGGACGAUGAAGGCCGGAAGGUUGUAAAGUCCUUUUGAUUGUGAAGAAUAAGCGAGACAGGCAAUGGUAUUGUGGUGACGGUAGCAAUUGAAUAAGCACCGGCUAAUUACGUGCCAGCAGCCGCGGUAACACGUAAGGUGCGAGCGUUGUUCGGAAUUAUUGGGCGUAAAGGGCAUGCAGGCGGCAUUGCGAGCCUGGCGUGAAAUGCAGGGGCUCAACUCCUGCGCUGCGCCGGGAACUGUGAAGCUUGAGUUUCUGAGGGGCAGCCGGAAUUCCACAUGUAGGGGUGAAAUCUGUAGAUAUGUGGAGGAACACCAAUGGCGAAGGCAGGCUGCCAGCGGAUGACUGACGCUGAGGUGCGAAGGUGCGGGGAGCGAACAGGAUUAGAUACCCUGGUAGUCCGCACAGUCAACGAUGUGCACUAGAUGUCUGUUCACACGAAUGGGUGUCAAAGCGAACGCGAUAAAGUGCACCGCCUGGGGAGUAUGCCCGCAAGGGUGAAACUCAAAGGAAUUGACGGGGGCCCGCACAAACCGGUGGAACCUG